RNAcentral lists this ribosomal RNA (673 nucleotides) under Escherichia coli. RNAcentral describes it as "partial 23S ribosomal RNA". It matches the Rfam family "Bacterial large subunit ribosomal RNA", at positions 516 to 1191 of the family's 2925-position model. The record is from RNAcentral. Lineage: Bacteria; Pseudomonadati; Pseudomonadota; Gammaproteobacteria; Enterobacterales; Enterobacteriaceae.
GAAAAGAACCCCGGCGAGGGGAGUGAAAAAGAACCUGAAACCGUGUACGUACAAGCAGUGGGAGCCUCUUAAUGGGGUGACUGCGUACCUUUUGUAUAAUGGGUCAGCGACUUAUAUUCUGUAGCAAGGUUAACCGAAUAGGGGAGCCGAAGGGAAACCGAGUCUUAACUGGGCGUUAAGUUGCAGGGUAUAGACCCGAAACCCGGUGAUCUAGCCAUGGGCAGGUUGAAGGUUGGGUAACACUAACUGGAGGACCGAACCGACUAAUGUUGAAAAAUUAGCGGAUGACUUGUGGCUGGGGGUGAAAGGCCAAUCAAACCGGGAGAUAGCUGGUUCUCCCCGAAAGCUAUUUAGGUAGCGCCUCGUGAAUUCAUCUCCGGGGGUAGAGCACUGUUUCGGCAAGGGGGUCAUCCCGACUUACCAACCCGAUGCAAACUGCGAAUACCGGAGAAUGUUAUCACGGGAGACACACGGCGGGUGCUAACGUCCGUCGUGAAGAGGGAAACAACCCAGACCGCCAGCUAAGGUCCCAAAGUCAUGGUUAAGUGGGAAACGAUGUGGGAAGGCCCAGACAGCCAGGAUGUUGGCUUAGAAGCAGCCAUCAUUUAAAGAAAGCGUAAUAGCUCACUGGUCGAGUCGGCCUGCGCGGAAGAUGUAACGGGGCUAAACCAUG